CUAGAACUAGAAGGUCCCUGCGCUACCACCAACUUCCAUGAGAACUUCCCGUAUGAAGCUCUGGGUUCCAUCUCCUAACAUUUAGAAAUUUGAGCCCUAACUCCACCUUCCAUUUCUAAUAGAUUCUAAUUUUGUAUUCAUUUUCUUUCCUUCUGUCUUUUUCCCCAAUGGCCCAUUACAGACUUUGCUUCCUUUUUCGUUUAAUUUUUUUAGAAAUCCCAAAUUGGUUGCUCCAUUUCUUUCUUUAUCCGAUUUUUGGCCUUAACUUCUAGAUUCCUAUCAAAAUUAUCCAUUUUGCUUCCACUUUUUUAGUGAUUUCGGUUUCUGAUUUCUGCUUUAUUGCAGAAUUUUUAAGCGACAAUGUCUUUGUGCCAAGGGUUCUAGCAAAAGUGCUCCUUGUAAAUGCGGUUCCAUGCCCAUUUCUUCGAGAACUCUUCCUGCCAAACAACAAAUGGAGGCUAAAAGAAUACAUCUAUGUGAAGCUCUGGGUUUCCAUCUCCAAACAACGUGAAAUUUGAGUGCCAGCUCCACCUUUAAUCCUAAUGGAUGCUAAUUUGGGUUUGUUUUUUUCCCAAACAGCCCCUUACACAGCUUUCUCUCCCUUUUCGUCUAAUUUUUCUUAAUCCCUAAUAUGUUAUUUCCUUCUUUCUCCUAUUUUUGGUCUUAGCUUCUGGGUUAGUGGAAACAAUUUCCUAUCUUGAUUCCAGUAUGUUGGUGACUCUAUGAUUUCUGAUUUUUGCUCAACAAUUCGGGAUAAAAUAACUUCUCAUGUCAUGCCAUGGUUUACUAGCGAGGCUGCUCAAGGAGAUUCAAGCUGAAAAUAUGAAAGUUGUUAUCGAGGAAGAUGAGGAUGAAGAAGAUGCAUAUGACAAGGAUGAGGAGGAGAUGACAUAAAAGAAUGUGAGAUUUUUUGCCUGCUUUUACAAAGUGAUUCGUCUUUUUCCUGUUAAUCUAUGCCAUGUUAUUCCAGUUAAAGAGGGUUACUAGAUUUUUACAAAUUCUCUUUGCAAAGUAAAAGUUAAUGUGUUGCCCUUCUCAGCUGCCACAUGUUAAUAGAGGGUAUUGUAGCCAUAAAGAUUGCUUUUAGAAGUUAAUUUGAGUGUGUGUUUCUCUUACAUCAAAGGCUUGAACCACUAGAAUAGAGUGGGUGAUGAAAAUUGGCAAAGCAACUAAUGAACUAACUCUUUUCUUCAUUCUUUUGUCAUGUAUUUUCUUGAUAUCUUAGGGUCUUUAUUUUAAAGCAGUCUGUUUCAUGAAGCUUUUGUAAUAUCCAUAAAAUUAUCGUGCAUAUAAACGAAUUGUGACUAGAAAUGAUAAUAUGGAGAAUGGCAGCGAUGGAAGACAAGUUGCGGGAAUCGAGGUUGCGAUGGUUUGGCCAUGUGAGGAGGAGAGACAUAGAUACCCCGGUCAGGAGGUGUGAGAGGUGGACCAUGACGGGCUUGAGGAAGGGUAGGGGUAGGCCAAAGAAGUAUUGGGGAGACGUGAUUAGGCAUGACAUGUCAGUGCUUCGCCUAACCGAGGACAUGACUAGUGAUAGGAAAGUAUGGAGAUCGACGAUCAAGGUGGUGGGUUGACUGGUAGUUGUGAGUUUCUCCUAAGGUUACCGGUAGUAGUAAUAUUCUUGUUGCUAGUUGAAAGAUACUUUCUUCUUGUUUGUUAUUAUAUUUGGUACAUGACAAUCAAGUCCACUAUUUUUGUGAAUUACUACUAGAAAUUGUUGCUUCAUGCUUGUUACUGUUUCA
This is a non-coding RNA of Nicotiana tabacum (common tobacco), 1742 nucleotides long. NCBI's taxonomy places the organism in Eukaryota, Viridiplantae, Streptophyta, Magnoliopsida, Solanales, Solanaceae. The record is from RefSeq and is a predicted model, not a curated record.